UUGGCUGCAUGGCUGCUGCUCAGGUUUUUUAGGUCUUUGUUGUUCCCAGGCAGACAGAUGGAAUUUGUCACAAGAAACUAAUCAGGGACACUGAGACCUAGUUGCACUUACAGGGAUAAAAUCUCAGACUGAGGAGUCAUUAGAAAGCUGCCUCUCACAAGCACGCUGCCUGCUGGGUCACAGACCAUUGCCCAGGCCAUUUUCCUGGCAAAGCCAUUUAGGGGGACAGAGCCUCCCGGACCCCCGGGGACAGCCAGCAGCCCCAAUGCGCUCCAAGGCAGCUCCUUCGGCUCCUGUCCCACCUGCGGGGAAGCGCCCGGAGGGACAGACGGACAGGCGCUGCCUCCCGGGGCUGCCAGCACAGAGCCCGGCUGCCUUCAGGGAGCGUUCCUUGUGUUCUCACAGGUUUUCUAGGGAAGCUUAGACUGGUUACGUUAGAAGAAGCAAGAGUGAUUGAAAGUGUGAUGGUGCUGAGCCGUCCUGCAGGGCUCCUUCUCCCUGAAGCCUUUGAAGUCAGAGCAGUUUGGGAGCUCAGGCUCUGUUCAGCACUCAGCUCCUGCAGCCAGGGACAGAACCAUGUGCUGCCAGCAUUCUCCUCCCCUGUUUCAGGCCUUUGCAUGUUUCCUUAGAACAGUUCCAAAAGGGCAAACACCUGCAAUUCUCCCUUUCAGUGUGAGCCUGAGUGCUCUCCAGUGAACUGCUGCUGUUUCCUGAAGGAAUUAUAGACUGGAAUUAAGUAAUUAUGGGCUGGAUUCAUCCCUCCUUAACUAGCUUUCUCUGCAGAGAAAUAAUAAAGCUGGCCAAAGAAAACUUACCUGUGGCUGCUGAGAUUUCAGUGUGAGGCUUUUCAAGUUUUACAUUUAACAAGUUAAAGGAUCUUCAAAUGUUUCUCUUUUUUUCCUGGCCUGGGAAGGAGCAGGGCUGCUCACAUUCCAGCAGGGCUCUGGCUCUGCUGACCUCUGCAGGCAAUGAGGCGAGGCUACAAAGGUGACAUCAAUGACAACAGUUAUUUUUAUAGAAAAACAGAAAUUACAUAUUUUUCAUUUCUUCAAAUGAAAAACCCCAAACAAGCGUGAACAUGAAUGAGAUGGUUCAUUCUGAGAAGUUUUUCUGGUAUCAAUAGAUACGAUCUUACACAAUAUGGUGUUUUGUUUCAGUUUCUCUCUUGUUUUCCUAAUUUACGUUGUGUUUUAUCAUCUUGAAAAAUAUCCCUCAGGCUGCUAAUGGCAACAGGACCUAGAGUGGUGAUUUAACACGAGAAAAUAUGCUCUCUUACCACAUUUUCUCACACUUUUCCCUUUGUGCUGUGAUGUCAUUAAAGCACUUAAAUCCGGGUGCAGAGGCUGGAUCUCAUUGUGUCCCUCAGCCAUGGAGCUGUCCUGGCGGGUACCAGCGCUGUCACUCAGCAGCAUCUCCCUCUUGUGGCACCUGGCAGCUCCCAGAGACCCAGUCCCCACUGAACAGCAGCUGCCAGUGAGCCCAGGA
This is a long non-coding RNA of Poecile atricapillus (Black-capped chickadee), 1485 nucleotides long. RefSeq lists it as uncharacterized. The transcript has 3 exons. The record is from RefSeq and is a predicted model, not a curated record. NCBI's taxonomy places the organism in Eukaryota, Metazoa, Chordata, Aves, Passeriformes, Paridae.